This 101-nucleotide small RNA is filed under the name Drosophila erecta. RNAcentral describes it as "GG26923". The record is from RNAcentral. Lineage: Eukaryota; Metazoa; Arthropoda; Insecta; Diptera; Drosophilidae.
CGGUUUGUUUGCCUUUCCACGCGCGGCAAAUGCACAAAAGUACUUUUAAACUUAAUGCCGCCGACUUUAUGCAAGUUUGGCUCAUUGCGAUUUGGCGAGGC